GCUUUAUUAAAAUCUCACAAGUGACAUAACUGAGAAGAGCUGGGAUAACUUUUUGCCAUUUUUGGAUUUAUCACAUUUGUGAGUAUACUGCUGCCUUUUGCUAACUGGUUUAUAGUAAGGCGUUGAUAUAAUUUAUUCAUAUCGUACGUACGAUCAUAUUCAUACUAACCAGUUAAAGACAUAAAAAAAUACUUCCAUACAUUUCCUUCAGCGGCUUUAUAGUAACUUCAUAUUUCACAAAAAUAGAAUAUGUAAAUAUCAUUAAAUUUGUAUGAAUUGCACGUUUACAAAAAUAGCUUCACAUUUUAUUUUAUGGAGCAUAUUGUGAUAUCGUUCACAGUAUAAUUACAUCCCCAUCCAUUCAGUGUUUGCAGUCUGCAGGUGAGACGAGUC
Non-coding RNA from Pelobates cultripes (western spadefoot toad), 393 nucleotides. The record is from the annotation of a GenBank genome assembly. Lineage: Eukaryota; Metazoa; Chordata; Amphibia; Anura; Pelobatidae.